This 461-nucleotide ribosomal RNA is filed under the name uncultured bacterium. Its description in RNAcentral is "bacterial SSU rRNA". It matches the Rfam family "Bacterial small subunit ribosomal RNA", at positions 32 to 506 of the family's 1533-position model. The record is from RNAcentral.
AAUCAACGCUGGCGGCGUGCCUAACACAUGCAAGUCGAACGAGAAAGUGGAGCAAUCCAUGAGUAAAGUGGCGACCGGGUGAGUAACACGUGACUAACCUACCCUUGAAUGGGGAAUAACCUUCCGAAAGGAGGGCUAAUACCGCAUAAAGUCCUAAGGAUGAAACGCCUAAGGACCAAAGGAGCAAUUCGUUUAAGGAGGGGGUCGCGGUUGAUUAGCUAGUUGGUGGGGUAAUGGCCCACCAAGGCGANGAUCAAUAGCCGGCCUGAGAGGGCGCACGGCCACACUGGAACUGAAACACGGUCCAGACUCCUACGGGAGGCAGCAGGUGGGGAAUUUUGCGCAAGUGGGGGAAACCCUGACGCAAGCAACGCCGCGUGAAGGAUGAAGUCUUUGGAUUGUAACUUCUUUCGAUCGGAAGAUAAUGACGGUACCGAGAGAAGAAGCCCCGCUAACUUCGU